GCCCCUUUAGCUCAGUCGGCAGAGCGUCGCCAUGGUAAGGCGAAGGUCUACGGUUCGAUUCCGUAAAGGGGCUCCA
Molecule: transfer RNA, 76 nt
Filed under: Streptomonospora litoralis
Lineage: Bacteria; Bacillati; Actinomycetota; Actinomycetes; Streptosporangiales; Nocardiopsidaceae
Description: Streptomonospora sp. M2 tRNA-Thr
Rfam family: tRNA
About the family: Transfer RNA (tRNA) molecules are approximately 80 nucleotides in length.
Source: RNAcentral